Molecule: ribosomal RNA, 1125 nt
Filed under: Triticum aestivum (bread wheat)
Lineage: Eukaryota; Viridiplantae; Streptophyta; Magnoliopsida; Poales; Poaceae
Description: partial small subunit ribosomal RNA
Source: RNAcentral
AUGUUGUGCCGCCAGCUGCUGCUGCUGCUGCUCUAUGGUCAGCGAUGGCAUUCUCCCCGUAGCCGAAGUCCCUGCCAGCUUUUGCUUCGCCAUUGCCAAGCUGCUUCUCCCGUAUCAGCUCCAGAAGGGAAAGCCGUGGCACGUCGCCGACAGGCGCGGUCGGCUUUUUUCCGCUCAGGCGCUGCGCCAGGGUCUUCUGCUUCGUGUCACGGCCUCCCUGCUGUGCCUUCUGUUCUUCAUCUUGAUGUUGCACUGAUGUCUUCUCAUCUUCGUCUUGAUAUUGCUCUGAUGGCUUCUCAUCCCCAUCUUGGCAUUGUUUGCAUGUCUUCUCUUCCUCGUCUUCGCACUUCUCUGGUGCCGUUUGCUCCUCAACAUGGCAUUCCUCUGGUGCCUUCUCAUCUUGGUAUUGUUGUGCUAUCUUUUGCUCUUCACCAAGAUAUUGCUCCGGUAUGUUUUGCUCAUCCCCUUCCUCCUCCUCGUCUUGGUAUUGCUCUUCUAUGUUUUGCUCCUCCUCCUCGGUCUCCAACUCCUCAUCUUGGUAUUGCUCUGGUGUCUUUUGAUCCUCCUCCAACUCCUCACCUUGGUACUGCUCUGGUAUGUUUUGCUCCUCCUCCUCUUCCUCCAACUCCUUAUCUUGGUAUUGCUUCGGUGUCUUUUGAUCCUCAUCUAGGCAUUGCUCUGGCGCAUCAUCAUCUUGCUGUUGCUGUUCUGUCUCCUCCUCAUCUUGAUAUUGCUCUGGUAUGUUCUGCUCCUCAUCUUGGUGCAGAUGUGGUUUCUUCUCCUGCUCUUCAUCUUCAUAUUGCUGCGGUUUCUUCUCUUGCUCAUCUUGAUAUUGCUCUGGUGCCUUCUUCUCAACACCUUCACACUCCUGUGGUGCCAGUGGAAUCUCCAGCUGCUGCUCUGCAUCUUCACAUUGCUGAGGUGCCUGCAGCUCUUUUGUAUCUUCGCACCGGAGCAAUCUCUUCAGCUUGGCCUCGUGGAGCAGCUGUCGUGCCAGGGGCGGCACAUACCGAUCUUCAUAACAAGCGACGAGGCUCACUGGUUUUCGUGUCCGCCUCGACAUGCCGCGAUCGAAGCGGCGGGAUUUGUUCACCUCACACUCGGUGGCCAUUGUUUGUGGUCUAG